GAUGAACGCUGGCGGCGUGCCUAAUACAUGCAAGUCGAGCGAAUGGAUUAAGAGCUUGCUCUUAUGAAGUUAGCGGCGGACGGGUGAGUAACACGUGGGUAACCUGCCCAUAAGACUGGGAUAACUCCGGGAAACCGGGGCUAAUACCGGAUAACAUUUUGAACCGCAUGGUUCGAAAUUGAAAGGAGGCUUCGGCUGUUACUUAUGGUGGGAGCCGCGUCGCAUUAGCUAGUUGGGGAGGUAACGGCUCACCAAGGCAACGAUGCGUAGCCGACCUGAGAGGGUGAUCGGCCACACUGGGACUGAGACACGGCCCAGACUCCUACGGGAGGCAGCAGGAGGGAAUCUUCCGCAAUGGACGAAAGUCUGACGGAGCAACGCCGCGUGAGUGAUGAAGGCUUUCGGGUCGUAAAACUCUGUUGUUAGGGAAGAACAAGUGCUAGUUGAAUAAGCUGGCACCUUGACGGUACCUAACCAGAAAGCCACGGCUAACUACGUGCCAGCAGCCGCGGUAA
Molecule: ribosomal RNA, 515 nt
Filed under: uncultured bacterium
Lineage: Bacteria
Description: partial 16S ribosomal RNA
Rfam family: Bacterial small subunit ribosomal RNA
Source: RNAcentral